This 440-nucleotide ribosomal RNA is filed under the name uncultured bacterium. Its description in RNAcentral is "partial 16S ribosomal RNA". It matches the Rfam family "Bacterial small subunit ribosomal RNA", at positions 338 to 795 of the family's 1533-position model. The record is from RNAcentral.
CCUACGGGAGGCUGCAGUAGGGAAUAUUGCUCAAUGGGGGAAACCCUGAAGCAGCAACGCCGCGUGGAGGAUGAAGGUUUUCGGAUUGUAAACUCCUUUUGUUAGAGAAGAUAAUGACGGUAUCUAACGAAUAAGCACCGGCUAACUCCGUGCCAGCAGCCGCGGUAAUACGGAGGGUGCAAGCGUUACUCGGAAUCCCUGGGCGUAAAGAGCGCGUAGGCGGGAUAGCAAGUCAGAUGUGAAAUCCUAUGGGUUAACCAUAGAACUGCAUUUGAAACUGUUAUUCUAGAGUAUGGGAGAGGUAGGUGGAAUUCUUGGUGUAGGGGUAAAAUCCGUAGAGAUCAAGAGGAAUACUCAUUGCGAAGGCGACCUGCUAGAACAUAACUGACGCUGAUGCGCGAAAGCGUGGGGAGCAAACAGGAUUAGAUACCCCAGUAGUC